RNAcentral lists this ribosomal RNA (1367 nucleotides) under Sepiadarium kochi. Its description in RNAcentral is "16S ribosomal RNA". The stretch from base 889 to 1250 matches the Rfam family "Bacterial large subunit ribosomal RNA", at positions 2073 to 2647 of the family's 2925-position model. The record is from RNAcentral. Lineage: Eukaryota; Metazoa; Mollusca; Cephalopoda; Sepiida; Sepiadariidae.
GUUAAAUAUGUAUAUAUAUUAAUUAUAUUAAAAGUUAUAUAAUUUAAAUUAUUUGAUUGUGUAGUAUAAAAGGUAAAGAAUCAUUAUUAUAAUAGUAAGUAUUGUAAAGGAAAAUAAAUAUAUUGAUUUAUAGUAGAAUUUAUAAUUCGUACCUUUUGUAUAAUGAAUUGAUGAUAUAAAUUAAAUAUAUAAUAUAAUCUCGAAAUAAAAGGAUUUACUUAGUAGAUAAUAUGUUAACGUUGUAUAGUUAUAUAAUUAAUAUUAGGUGGUAAUGAUAUAUUAAUCGAUUUUUAUGAUAGCUAGUUUAUUAGUUUAUAAUAUUUAAGUAUUAUAAUAUUGAUUUAAUAUUUGAUUAAUUUAAUAUUAGUGCAGUAUAUGAGGGUAAGCUUCAUAUAUUUAAUUAGAAUAUUAGAUGAUAUAUAUUGAGUUAUUUAUUUAAGUAAAAUUAAUAGUGUUUUUCUUUAAAAAUAAUAAUAAAUAUCAUAUACACAUUAUUCAGGUUGGAUUAUUAAUAAGCUAUAAAUAUUUAUAAAUUGGUUUUAAAUAACUAUAAUGUUAAUAUGAGUAUUAAAAUUAUAAUAAUGAUAUUUAUAAUUAUUUAAUUGAAAAUAUAUUAAAAUAAGGUAAAUUAAUUAAAUAAUAUAAAGGAAUUUGGCAAAUAAAAAUCUCGCCUGUUUACCAAAAACAUGUCUCUUUGUAAUAAUUAUAGAUAAAGAGUCGGGCCUGCUCGGUGAUUAAAUUUAACAGCUGCGGUAUUUUAACUGUACUAAGGUAGCAUAAUAGUUUGCCUUAUAAAUUGAGGCUAGAAUGAAUGGUUUGACGAAGGUUUAUCUGUCUCUAUAUUAUUUAUUAGAAAUUAAUUUUUAAAGUGAAAAAGCUUAGAUUGUUUAAAGGGACGAGAAGACCCUGUUGAGCUUAAAUUUUAUAAUUAUUAUAAAGAAAAAUUAGUAAAAAUAAAUUUUAAUUGGGGUGAUUAAGGAAUAAAAUUAUUAUUUAAUAACUUCCUUAGAACAUGUAUUUAUUUAUAAAAAGUAACCAAUAAUUAUUAUAUUGCUUUUAUAAUAGUUACCACAGGGAUAACAGCGUAAUUUGCUUAGAGAGUUCUUAUUAAAAAGUGAGUUUGCGACCUCGAUGUUGGAUUAAAAUAACCUUAAGGUGUAGAAGCUUUAAUAGGUAAAUCUGUUCGAUUUUUAAAAUUUUACAUGAUCUGAGUUCAGACCGGCGUGAGCCAGGUUGGUUUCUAUCUUUUAAAAUUGUUAAUUGUCUUUUUUAGUACGAAAGGACCAAAAAGAACUAAAAUUUUUAUUAUAUUUAAGUAAUACAUUGAUAACAAAAUAUAAUUAAGGUAUUAAUUUUCUUAAAGUUUU